Molecule: non-coding RNA, 104 nt
Organism: Notechis scutatus (mainland tiger snake)
Lineage: Eukaryota; Metazoa; Chordata; Lepidosauria; Squamata; Elapidae
Source: RefSeq, a predicted model, not a curated record
CCUGCCCUUUGAUGCCCUGCUCAGAGAAUAAGUCAACCCUGUCUUCUCUGUUAUAGCCCUCAAAUAUUGGAAGACAGCUAUCAUGUCACCACUAAACCUUCUCU